UUUGCUGGCCAUUCACCAUGAGGGGACAAGUGUCACCUGCCUCCUGAGUGGCAUGUGCCACCCUGGGCAGUGGCGCUGAGCAUUUAUGAAGCCUGACACUCUACCACUUUGAGCCUGAGGGGAAGCUGUGAGGACUCAGCAUGUCAGAGAGACUGCACGUAUGGGAGAAUGCACGCACGGGAGCCGGAGGGACGCAGAGGAACCAGUGUGAGGCACCAGGGAAGACACACCGCAGGCUUGCCUCCUCAGUGCUCCCAGAGGUUGACCAUGGACUCAUGUCGCUGUUCACUGAAGAUGUGAGGAGUGCGCUGGCCGCAGCAGCCCAGGUGGCCCCUUGCCUGCCUGGCCAAUCAAGGGUGGCAUGUGAAUGCCACCAGCCAACAAGCACAGGGACCACACAGCGACCUGCUCACUAGCUGUAAAUGCCACCAUUAUGAUUGGAAUUGUAUGUCCCCCAACUCACAUGUUGAAGCCCUAGCCUCAGUACCUCAGAAUGGGGCUGUGUUUGGAGGUAGGGCCUUUAGAGAGGUGACUCAGUUACAUCGAGGCCUUCAGGGUGAGCCCUCCAUUCAGUGUGACUGGGGUCCUGAAAAGAAGACAAUGUUUGGGCAUUCAGAAAGACACAGGACCACAGGCUGUGUGUGCACAGAAGAAAGGCCACGAGAAGGUGACCAUCUGCAAGCCACAGAGGGAGACCUCGGGGGAACCGACUCUGCCGGCACCUUCAUUGUGAACCUGCAGCCUCCAGAGCUGUGAGAAAUACAUUUCUGUUGUUUAAGCCUCCCAGUCUGUAGUAUGUUGUUAUGGCAGCUGGAGUGAACUAGCACAGCCACUGGAGUUUGGCCAACAAGCACACUGAAGCCAUGAGAAGUGAACCAUUUGUUUCAGAGAAGUGUAAUCAAGCCAAAAAGAAAACAAUCUCCCUUAGCACUCAGGGUGAACGCCAACCUUGAGCUGACUGUCAUUGUGGAAAACUGGGGCCUUCUUGACUGACCUAACUGGACAGAUGGCGAUGGAGGAGGAGGCUGUGCUGACACAUUCGGCUGAGCUCCUGCCUGUGCUUCCCAGCAGCUGCCCACACCAGCCACAGGGAUCACGCCCAACCUGCCUGGAGCACCGGUGAGACGUACGGAGCCAUAAGGAGAGACUUCUGCAUUCUGGUGACCAACUGACUCCACCUGGACCCGUGAUUCCUGACUCAACAGGUCCUGUGGCCCCCACCCAGAAGUUGACUUAGCACAUGAGGACCAUUUUCCACAUCCCUAUGACUUCAUCCCCAGUCAGCAUCAUCCAUUCCCUAGCCCCCUGCCUGACAAUUUAUCCAUAAAAACUCUAGCCUCUGAAUUCUCAGGGAGGUUGAUUUGAGUAAUAAACUCCAUCUUCCAAUUGGCUAGCCCUGUGUUAAUUAAACUCUUUUUUAAAUUAUUU
This 1428-nucleotide long non-coding RNA is filed under the name Homo sapiens (human). RNAcentral's name for it is "HSALNT0039849". The record is from RNAcentral. Lineage: Eukaryota; Metazoa; Chordata; Mammalia; Primates; Hominidae.